GCCUGGGGGGCUCAGUCGGUUAAGCGUCCGACUUCGGCUCAGGUCAUGAUCUCACAGUUUGUGGGUUCGAGUCCCACCUCGGGCU
Molecule: transfer RNA, 85 nt
Filed under: Felis catus (domestic cat)
Lineage: Eukaryota; Metazoa; Chordata; Mammalia; Carnivora; Felidae
Rfam family: tRNA
About the family: Transfer RNA (tRNA) molecules are approximately 80 nucleotides in length.
Source: Rfam by way of RNAcentral